CCUACGGGAGGCAGCAGUCGGGAAUAUUGCGCAAUGGAGGAAACUCUGACGCAGUGACGCCGCGUAUAGGAAGAAGGUUUUCGGAUUGUAAACUAUUGUCGUUAGGGAAGAUAAAAGACUGUACCUAAGGAGGAAGCCCCGGCUAACUAUGUGCCAGCAGCCGCGGUAAUACAUAGGGGGCAAGCGUUAUCCGGAAUUAUUGGGUGUAAAGGGUGCGUAGACGGAAGAACAAGUUGGUUGUGAAAUCCCUCGGCUCAACUGAGGAACUGCAACCAAAACUAUUCUCCUUGAGUGUCGGAGAGGAAAGUGGAAUUCCUAGUGUAGCGGUGAAAUGCGUAGAUAUCACGAAGAACUCCGAUUGCGAAGGCAGCUUACUAAACUGCCACUGACAUUGAUGCUCGAAAGUGUGGGUAUCAAACAGGAUUAGAUACCCCUGUAGUC
RNAcentral lists this ribosomal RNA (441 nucleotides) under uncultured bacterium. RNAcentral's name for it is "partial 16S ribosomal RNA". It matches the Rfam family "Bacterial small subunit ribosomal RNA", at positions 338 to 795 of the family's 1533-position model. The record is from RNAcentral.